Molecule: non-coding RNA, 237 nt
Organism: Pelobates cultripes (western spadefoot toad)
Lineage: Eukaryota; Metazoa; Chordata; Amphibia; Anura; Pelobatidae
Source: the annotation of a GenBank genome assembly
UGUAUCUUUUGAUGCGCUUGUGCUAUGCUGAUUGUAGAAAUUUCCCUGGUGUACUCUGAUGCAGAACACCAAUGAACUAAACGGGGAGUGUAAAAUUGGUACUAAACUGCUGAAACCAGGAUGUUUAGGUAGUACCUCAAUGUAGGAUGGGCUAUGUAAGAGGCAUUAAAGUGACACUAUGCAUCAGUAUUGAUGUGGAAGCACAGCUAACUGCCUAGAGGACAAGCUAAUGACACA